GGAUGUGUGCCCGAGAACAUAAGGAUUACUUUGAUAGAGUAAAUUACAGGGAUUAACAACCCUCACCUCCU
This 71-nucleotide transfer RNA is filed under the name Algyroides nigropunctatus. RNAcentral describes it as "tRNA-Ile". The record is from RNAcentral. Lineage: Eukaryota; Metazoa; Chordata; Lepidosauria; Squamata; Lacertidae.